UGUCCCUAGCGUACUCAUUUGAAGCUUCGAGGUCGAACCACUUUUAUGGUUCACCUGGCUGCGAGGCUUUGACGUUUCAUGAGGCAUCAUCUCGUCACCACUAUUCUGUUGUUUAAGAAAGAAAAAAGGAUUCUUUCUGUGGCGUGUCGAUAACUCGGACCUCCAGGUUUCCUUUCGUUAUGCUUCCAUCACGCUGAUUUCAGAUUCGCCUGUCAUCGUGUAUGAUACCGGUGGUCUACAGUGUUUAUUAAAGUCUAGACAUCUCCGAAUGCUUUGCAACCGUUCUCCUGGGGAACACGCGUGGGCAUCGUUCAGCCCACCUGAACGUGUACAACUCAUACUUACCUGGCAAGGGAGAUACCAUGAUCAAGAAGGUGGUUCAGCCAUAGCGAGGCUCAGCCAUUGCACUGAGGCUGUUGCUGACCCGUGCGAAUUCCCCAAAUGUGGGAAUCUCGAUUGCAAAAUUUCUGGUAGUGGGGGACUGCGUUCGCGCUCUCCCCUGGUCGUGUUGUUCUAAAGAAAUAAUAGCUAUGAAAGAUACCACCCUGAGCACGCCCGAUCUCGUCUGAUCUCGGAGGCUAAGCAGGGUCCGGCCUGGUUAGUACUUGGAUGGGUGACCGCCUGGGAAUGGCUCAUGACCCCCCAAAGUCCCUAUCCCUCAACCCUGGGAUCGAUCCAAAAGGAUCGAGGAUCAAAACGGACGGCUCCAUCUGGUGGCCACUGGUGGGUGGUUUUAUUUUCAGAAAUGUCAUGUGCAAGGCCUAGAUGAUCAAAAUCCACUAGUCUGCUGGAUGUUUUGUUUAUUAUUUUCAUACUUUGAGUGGAUGUAGCUGAUGAGAUUCAUACAAUCAAGUGGAAAAGUGUUAAAUUGUUACAUUUUUGGGCUGAAUUAAGAAAAAUAAUAAGAGCCAUUCACAGAACUCAUUGUUUUGACCACACAGGGAGUGCAGCCAUCACAGUGGGGGUGUAUUCACACCUCUGGUUGCGGGAGUGAAGACACAAGGACUUCUAAUUGCUUUGAUGGCACAGGAACAGUGGCAUCACAGAGGUAAGUUAUUCACACACACACACACGCAUUUCCAGGUAUUUACACAGUCCUCCUUUCCAACUCCGCAUCCACGACACUCUUAAAGUGUUCAAAGUUGUCAUACACCACAUUGUAAAAGCCAGGGGUAGUGGACAUCCUAGUGGGUGGACAGUAGGAAAACAUUUUCUGCAUGCUUCCAGCCACUUUGUCCUUGGAAGGGGUGUACCUCUUCCGCUGUCCACCACAGUCUGGCACGUGGCAAGCCCCACAUGGCCUUGAGGACUUGUUAGGCAUGAAUGUCUUCACUGUUGGUGCAGGAGGGACAAAGCUCUGGCUGCAGGAUGGCCCACGAAACAGGACGGAGGGGGCCUGUGGCUGUGCGGGGAGGACCAGCAGUAUGGGUGCUGCCGACACAGGGGGCGGGCCGUAGGUCAACGCAGCAGGUGGCCUCGGCUGGAGGUGGGUGGACGCAGGAAGCCUCGGCAGAAUGGGGGUGGGCGCAGCAGGCUUCAGCCGGGUGGAGGACGACAAACCCAGUGGGCUGAACGGGCCGGUUCGCGGGAGUCCCAGGCUCAUCAACAAAUAAUCUGGAAACAUAAAAUACACAUGUGAUCAGUAUUGAUAUGACUUGUGUGCUAUUUGCUUUCCACAGCCAACAGGUGAAACAAAGUGCUUAUGACAACUUACCUCCGCUUCUCACCACGUCUCUUUCCAGCCUCGUGAUGGAUGUGCCGGUACUGGACCUGAGGCCGGUCUGGCGGAGCAGUCGCUCCUUCUGCCACUUCAGCAGCUCGUUCUGCUCUCCCUGCUGGCAGUACUGGAACAGCAGCCACACCAGCCAGCCGACAUCAUUCUCCACAAGCCACCUGAAGGUCUGACCGGCGUACUUCCCGAACGUGAUGACCAGCUGACCUUUCCAAAGGUCUCUGCCGUCUUGAGAUCCAGCCAUUUAGGGUCAACAACAGUGCUGCUGCGGUCCUCUGCCACAGACCUUGCUGCCUCUGUACAGUACAGCCUGGCCUCUCCUUGCCGGUACAAAAUGAUGUUGGGGUACUGGUGUAGCUGUUGAUGGCUGACCAGCGAUGGUUUAGUGGCCAAGCUCUUCCCGCAGACGUCACAGAUAAAGGUCUCCCUGGCGAUGGCAUGGAUCUUCAGAUGCCUCGCCACGUUGGACUUUUCACCGAAUGUCUUGUCGCACACGGUGCACUGAUGUGUAGGCAUGUUCCAUCUGGCACAGUAAAACAUGAAUAAAUGAGUAAAACUAAAAACAGAUCAUUUAGAUUGACAAUAUGUAGCCCUUUAUUAUACAGAAAUCUGCUGUUGGUGUAUUAGCCUAGGACAACAAGCUCGCCAGAUUGUCGAGAGAUUAACACGGUCGCCAAAUUGCUUCAUGUUACAAUUACUCUCGCAUCAGCUGUUGUCUAAACAGUCACAUUUGCCCAUAUUAACACAUAUCCACAUCAAAUUGACCAAGAAAACGUUGAUUGUCGCCGAAAAGCAACAAGUUUGCAGGUAGGCUAUGCGACGUAGCCCUUACUAUUGUAAACAGUGUCGUUAGCCGCGCCUAGCUAUCGUCACAAAACACACAUUAAUCAGCUUAUUAUUUCAACGACCCUUGGGUGAAUAUAGUAAUGCCAUACACCGUUGGAAAGCUUAGAUUGCCACGAUUAAAACGAGACUUCCCACGGGUAAUAUGGUUGCUCACCGACAAAACGGCGAUAGGUUGACUAAAGUCUACCCAGCAGCUAAAAACGUACCCACUACUUCUUCCCUUUAUACACAACGACCGCGUUAUGACACGGUCGAAAUCUUUUCUCUUUCUACAAAAUCGAAACAGCUUAAUACAAACCGUAAAAAAUAAAUGUCUAAUUAUUAACUAGCAAACGAUGCAGGGGAUACAAUUUACCUGAGUGAAUCCUCCGUUGACUGCUUCACCGGGGAAUACCACGUGCUGUAAGCUAUUUUCUUUUUCAACUCGAGCUCAUUGGCUGCAAUAGAGUUCCGGGUGUUAUAGAUAUAUAUUUAUUUGUCAUUGGACAGAAGUACAACGAAAUUCAGUGCACUCACGUACUGGUCUCAUUUAAAAAGGUAACAUAAUAAAUAAAUAAAGAAAGAAAAUACAUUCAACAUUUCGUUCACUCACUGCUUCACCUGUAGUCUCAUAGAAGCCUCCACUGCUCCAAACUCUAUUUGUGAAACAUGCAGACGGCCUAGUGAGACUGCCAGCAGGCAGCAGCAAAGAGAUGUAGCGACCUCGGUUUAUUUCUCCAGCUUUCACAGACACACAAACACGCACACAGAUUGCUUGGUCUUUUUUUUGUUUCGUCGUUGUCUUAAACCGCCAAGUGGAGCGACGUGUCUGGGAAGCUCGCCUAUUGGUCUGAGCUUGUGUGUGCAUCGCUUCUCGGCCUUUUGGCUAAGAUCAAGUGUAGUAUCUGUUCUUAUCAGUUUAAUAUCUGAUACGUCCCCUACCCGGGGACCAUAUAUUAAAUUGAUUUUUGGAACUGGGAGAUGGAAAAGGGGCUUGCUCCGUCCACUCCA
Molecule: long non-coding RNA, 3568 nt
Organism: Gadus macrocephalus (Pacific cod)
Lineage: Eukaryota; Metazoa; Chordata; Actinopteri; Gadiformes; Gadidae
Exons: 2
Source: RefSeq, a predicted model, not a curated record